Molecule: ribosomal RNA, 484 nt
Filed under: uncultured bacterium
Lineage: Bacteria
Description: partial 16S ribosomal RNA
Rfam family: Bacterial small subunit ribosomal RNA
Source: RNAcentral
AUUGAACGCUAGCGGGAUGCUUUACACAUGCCAGUCGAACGGCAGCGCGGACUUCGGUCUGGCGGCGAGUGGCGAACGGGUGAGUAAUGUAUCGGAACGUGCCCAGUAGCGGGGGAUAACUACGCGAAAGCGUAGCUAAUACCGCAUACGCCCUACGGGGGAAAGCAGGGGAUCGUAAGACCUUGCACUAUUGGGGCGGCCGAUAUCGGAUUAGCUAGUUGGUGAGGUAACGGCUCACCAAGGCGACGAUCCGUAGCUGGUUUGAGAGGACGACCAGCCACACUGGGACUGAGACACGGCCCAGACUCCUACGGGAGGCAGCAGUGGGGAAUUUUGGACAAUGGGGGCAACCCUGAUCCAGCCAUCCCGCGUGUGCGAUGAAGGCCUUCGGGUUGUAAAGCACUUUUGGCAGGAAAGAAACGUCGCGGGCUAAUACCCCGUGGAACUGACGGUACCUGCAGAAUAAGCACCGGCUAACUACGUG